UCGACCCUCUCUUUCUCUAUGGGGCGUGUGCUGGAUCUGAGAGGUUGGAGCUCUGGAGCAAUACCCUUAUUCCGUUGUUGCCUUAGGUCUUUACACGGGGAACAGGGCGGACCUAGUUCGAAAACUGCAUAAGCCUCGGACGGUGGCGCAGACUUGAGCUCAGCAACCGCUAGAGAAGGAAAGAUGCUGUGAUGAGAACCAGGCAAUGCCAGCCAAUUGGUCCGAUUUCACAGUCUGCGCACACCAGAAACUUGAUGUUGCCCACGUCCUUGGUGAAGCCCACGUUCUCAAAGAUGAACAUGUCAUCGACCAGCCAGUGCUCCUGGAGAAGCUCGCCGUCAGGAUCGCUGCCAUCAGCCAGAGCUGGUUUCUUUCUCAUGGAGGGAAGGAAAAGCUGCAGUGGAAAAGAACACAAAGAAUGCAAGAGCUGACUGGCCAGUCACGUCAUCACCCCCAUUCCACUCACACGUUACACCGCUCCCUAGCACUUUCUCGGAAUGAAAACAAAAUGAGGAGCCCGAUCAUUGACGGAUGAGGAUGCUGGGUGGCUCCUCUGUUGCCUCUAGUCCGUGCCCUGAUUCUUACGAGACGUUAAAGAGGUAACAUGCCGUUUUCAACUGGCUUCGCUGCUAUCCUUACCAUGAUCCAUAAGGCCCUGCCUGUUCCUAAUCUCCCUCCAGCCACACUGGCCUUGCCUUCUUCAAACAGGGUAAGUGUGCUCUGCCCUCAGAUCCUGGCAAGGCCGGUUCCUUCGUGAUAUUCAGCUCAAACGUAACCUCUUCGGGAGGUCUUCUCUAACCAAACAAUCUGAAUUAGCUUCCCAUACUGCCCACUAUGUUUUAUUUUAUACUUUUCAAAGUUUACUUAACUAUUUUGAGAGCGAGAUCGAGUGGGAGAGGGCGGGAGAAGAGAGAGAAUCUCAAGUAGGCUCCACACUGUCAGCAUGGAGACCAAUCGUGGGGCUUGAACUCACGAAGCGUGAGAUGAUGACCUAAGCUGAAACCAAGAGCUGGUCACUUAACCAACGGAACCACCCAAGCGUCCCUAUAUUUUUUUAUAUGGCUUUACUGAGGUAUAGUUGACACAUACACUGCACAAUACUUAAAGUAUACAAUUUGAAACAUUUUGGCCCAGACAUCUACCCAUAAAUCAUUACCAGCAAGACACCAAGCAUAUUCAUCACCCCCAAAGUCUCCUUAUGCCACUACCUCUUUAUUUUCUACUUACCAUUCUCUGAACUUAAUGUAUUGGCUUAUUUACCGUGGGUCUCCCUCCACUAAAAUGUAAGCCCCAGGAAAGGAAGGAGCUUACCUUUCCUGUUCACUACUCUAUCCCCAGUGCCUAGAGUAAUAACUGGCAUAGAGCAGGAACUCAAAUAUUUUCAAAAGAAUAAAUACAGGAUACCUGGCUUUGCUCUAUUCCAUCACUGUAAGGUAUGUGCUGGAUUUAUCUUACAAAAGAACAUUAACAAGGAAAAUCUAGUUCUAGAAUUCGGAAUAGCAUCCCAAGGAUCCCUGUACCCACAAAUCAACAUGCCUUCCCAAUCACUACGAGAAAGCCUCUGGCACAUGCGCGUGUAAGUACACACACACACACACACACCCUUUAAUUUCUUCCAUAUGGUUAGUUCACACACCUUUAGCAGCCCCACAGUACUGCAAGAUACAUACAGCAAAGCUUGUUACUCCUCUGCUCUCAUCGUCAUGGCUACUGCCAAUACACUUAUUUUCCACCCUAUGAAGCACUUUUCAGUUCUUACUUUAUUAUGACUAUGAAAAUAUUUGCUACAAAGCCAAGUAGUAGUCUAUGGCUGUUUCUUUCUCGUAAGUUUUUUCUUCAUAGGUAACAAUUUACUUUUUUUUCCCCUCUGGCAUUAACUUUCAACGUACCUACUAUCAUUUUUUUUUUUUUUUAAUUUAAAUCCAAGUUUGUUAACAUAUAGUGUAUUAAUGGUUUCAGGAAUAGAAUCUAGUGAUUUAUCACUUAUACAUAAAACCAAGUGCUCAUCCCAACAAGUGCAUUCCUUAAUGCCCAUUGUCCAUUUAGCCCAUCCCCCCCCCACACCCCACCAGCAACCCUCAGUUGUUCUCUGUAUUUAAGAGUCUCUUAUGGUUUGUCUCCCUGUUUUUAUCUUUUCACUUCCCUUCCCCCGUGUUCAUCUGUUUUGUUUCUUGAAUUCCACACAUGUGUGAAAUCAUAUGAUAUUUGUCUUUCUCUGACUGACUUAUCUCGCUUAGCAUAAUGCAUUCUAGUUCCAUCUACAUUGUUGCAAAUGGCAAGAUUUCAUUCUUUUUGAUUGCUGAGUAAUAUUCCACACACACACACACACACACACACACACACACACACACCCCACAUCUUCUUUAUCCAUUUGUCAGUCAAUUGACAUCUGGGAUCUUUCCAUAAUUUGGCUAUUGUGAUAGUGCUGCUAUAAACAUUGGGGUGCAAGUGCCCCUUUGAAUCAGCAUUUUUGUAUCCUUGGAAUAAAUGCCUAGUAGUGCAA
Molecule: long non-coding RNA, 2503 nt
Organism: Neofelis nebulosa (Clouded leopard)
Lineage: Eukaryota; Metazoa; Chordata; Mammalia; Carnivora; Felidae
Exons: 2
Source: RefSeq, a predicted model, not a curated record